GACGAACCGUGCGAACGUUGUUCGGAAUCACUGGGCUUAAAGGGCGCGUAGGCGGUCUCGCAAGUCCGGGGUGAAAGCCCCCAGCUCAACUGGGGAAGUGCCUUGGAAACUGCGGGUCUAGAGGGAGGUAGGGGCAUGUGGAACUUCGGGUGGAGCGGUGAAAUGCGUUGAUAUCCGAAGGAACGCCGGUGGCGAAAGCGACGUGCUGGAUCUCUUCUGACGCUGAGGCGCGAAAGCUAGGGGAGCAAACGGG
RNAcentral lists this ribosomal RNA (253 nucleotides) under uncultured bacterium. Its description in RNAcentral is "partial 16S ribosomal RNA". It matches the Rfam family "Bacterial small subunit ribosomal RNA", at positions 524 to 776 of the family's 1533-position model. The record is from RNAcentral.